RNAcentral lists this ribosomal RNA (571 nucleotides) under Dactylogyrus sp. g KA-2019. RNAcentral describes it as "partial large subunit ribosomal RNA". It matches the Rfam family "Eukaryotic large subunit ribosomal RNA", at positions 84 to 634 of the family's 3401-position model. Lineage: Eukaryota; Metazoa; Platyhelminthes; Monogenea; Dactylogyridea; Dactylogyridae. The record is from RNAcentral.
UUGCGGGGGUGAACGGAGAUUAGCCCAUCACCGAAGUCUAUUCACUUUUGUGGACAGGACCAUGUGGUGUUCGGGUGUGCACCUGGGAAUGCUUGCCUACUCGAAGUCCAACUCCGAUUAUGGCUAGGACCAUGCCCAGAGCGGGUGAAAGGCCCGUUCGGGUAGGUUGCUGUUAUUUGAAGCAUUCCUCAGCCGUGCAUGCUCUCGAGUCGGAUUGCUUGAGAAUGCAGUCCAAAGAGGGUGGUAAACUCCAUCCAAGGCUAAAUACUGGCACGAGUCCGAUAGUAGACAAGUACCGUGAGGGAAAGUUGAAAAGUACUCUGAAGAGAGAGUAAAUAGCACGUGAAGCCGCUUGCAGGGAAGCUGGUGGAGUCAAGCUUCAUGUACGGAGAAUUGUCGUGAGGACCAUCGUUGUUGUCUGGGACGUGAUACUGAUGAGCCUUGAAAGGGUUUGAUGCAUCUCGGUGCAUUCCAAGUCUUUCUGGGUAGAAUGUUUGGAUUGGUAUCUAUCUCCCUGGUCCUCGUGCUCUUAUUCUCCGUUACAUACAUCACGGUCAAUAGGGGGAAAAAA